UACGUAUGGUGCAAGCGUUAUCCGGAUUUACUGGGUGUAAAGGGUGCGUAGGUGGUGAGACAAGUCUGAAGUGAAAAUCCGGGGCUUAACCCAGGAACUGCUUUGGAAACUGCCUGACUAGAGUACAGGAGAGGUAAGUGGAAUUCCUAGUGUAGCGGUGAAAUGCGUAGAUAUUAGGAGGAACACCAGUGGCGAAGGCGACUUACUGGACUGCUACUGACACUGAGGCACGAAAGCGUGGGGAGCAAACAGG
This 253-nucleotide ribosomal RNA is filed under the name Coprococcus eutactus. RNAcentral's name for it is "partial 16S ribosomal RNA". It matches the Rfam family "Bacterial small subunit ribosomal RNA", at positions 524 to 776 of the family's 1533-position model. Lineage: Bacteria; Bacillati; Bacillota; Clostridia; Lachnospirales; Lachnospiraceae. The record is from RNAcentral.